RNAcentral lists this ribosomal RNA (874 nucleotides) under uncultured archaeon. RNAcentral's name for it is "bacterial SSU rRNA". It matches the Rfam family "Archaeal small subunit ribosomal RNA", at positions 22 to 903 of the family's 1478-position model. The record is from RNAcentral.
GGCUACCGCUAUUGGAGUUCGAUUAAGCCAUGCGAGUCUAGAGGCCUAGCCUCGGCGUACCGCUCAGUAACACGUGGGUAACCUACCCUAUGCUGGGGAAUAAGCUCGGGAAACUGAGAAUAAUGCCCCAUAGUCCACUACGCCUGGAACGGUGAGUGGAUUAAAGCUCCGGCGGCAUAGGAUGGGCCUGCGGCGUAUCAGGUUGUAGGGGGUGUAAUGUACCCUCUAGCCAUCCACGCGUACGGGUGUUGGGAGACAUUGCCCGGAGAUGGAUUCUGAGACACGAAUCCAGACCCUACGGGGUGCAGCAGGCGCGAAAACUUGGCAAUGCGAGAAAUCGUGACCAGGGAACUCCAAGUGGCAGGGGUAAGACCCUGUCUUUUUCCGACUCUAAAUAGGUCGGCGAAUAAGGGGUGGGUAAGGACGGUGCCAGCCGCCGCGGUAAUACCGGCGCCUCAAGUGGUAGUCGCUUUUAUUGGGCCUAAAACGUCCGUAGCCGGUCUGGUACAUUCGUGGGUAAAUCAACUCGCUCAACGAGUUGAAUUCUGCGAGGACGGCCAGACUUGGGACCGGGAGAGGUGUGGGGUACUCUCAGGGUAGGGGUAAAAUCCUGUCAUCCUGAGAGGACCACCUGUUGCGAAGGCUCCACACUAGAACGGAUCCGACGGUUAGGGACGAAGCCUAGGGGCACGAACCGGAUUAGAUACCCGGGUAGUCCUAGGUGUAAACGCUGUGGACUUGAUGUUGGGGACGCUCCGAGCGUUCUCAGUGUCGAAGCGAAGGUGAUAAGUCCACUGCCUGGGGAGUACGGUCGCAAGGCUGAAACUUAAAGGAAUUGGCGGGGGAGCACCGCAACCUGAGGAUUGUGCGGUUU